This is a long non-coding RNA of Hirundo rustica (Barn swallow), 889 nucleotides long. RefSeq lists it as uncharacterized. The transcript has 4 exons. Lineage: Eukaryota; Metazoa; Chordata; Aves; Passeriformes; Hirundinidae. The record is from RefSeq and is a predicted model, not a curated record.
UCUCAUCUGGGAGGCUGAGGAGCGAGGCCAGCACCAUGCCUCUGGGGACUGGGAGGAAGGCUAGAGGCUGGCCUGGGUGAGGGGCACUGAGAGGAGCAGAGCACUUGAACCAGAGGGGACAGCCACAUCACCUGGCUGGUCUGUGCCUAUCCUUCUUCUCUCCUGGGGUGACAGCAAGCAGGCAUUUCCUGGGAUUCAGGGCUCCUUCUAGUGACAUCCUCCGUGCUCUUCACCCCAUUUUAUCUACCUCUGCCUAGUAAAUCCCGAGGCAGUGAGUCAUUUUCAGAUGUGUAUGCCAAGCGCUCCAGCACCAGUGCUGCAAGAGGCAGUGUUUCUUCCUGCGGGGUGGUGUCAGCUCGGCACAGAUGGUGCGAAUUCCCAGCAGUGAAUCACCAGGUUUCGUGCAACAGUGUCGUAUUUCAGCCCUUUGAACCAAGCUGACUAGACAUCACCAGCUGUGUGCUUCUGGUUUUCAGAGAGCCUUGAUUUCUUCUUUUCAAAGUCCUUGAUCCUUUUUUCAAAAAUGCUGAUCAUUCACUACUGCAGCUGACACAUACAUAUGCUGGACAGAGAGAGCACCUGUAAAAUUCUUAAGAGAAAGACAAAGGUUAAAGAGAGCUCUUGCAAAGAUUUUUAUUAAAGUGUAAGCAACAUGAAGAACAAAAAUGAUCAAUGCUGCUAAUUACACAUCUUCUGAUGACUUUGACAUCCUUAGAAAGGGAUUCCUCACCACAACUGGAAAAGAUUAGCAUAGUUUUUGUCAAGAUGACUACUCCCCUAAAUGAUUCAAAUAUUAUUAGAGCAGAAUUAAGUGAUGUGCAAUUCCUGCCUCUGAACCAAAAAUAGCCUGUCAUUUGAAUACCAAGAUGUAGAUGGUUAUUGAUUAUAA